UGUUUCAAAGUUACAGUGUGUGCUAAGAGUUAAAAUAAAGAUGUGUUGUAGAGCUAUGGGGACCCAGAAAGUGGAGCGACACUUUUGCCAAGUGUGGUAAAGCAGGAAAAAGCCCUUACUGACUUGCUUUCAUCGUAAAGCGAAUGCCGCACACCCAGGCAGGGCCUAGAAGUAGCAAGCAAAGAGUAUCUCAAUCCCGAAGGAAGAGAACACAGCUCAUCAGGGGAGCGGAAGAUUACAUGGGCAGGAUUACAAUGUGACGUGACUAUGUUAAAGAAUUUGGAUUUCACCAGAUGCAUGUAGCCAAGUGAAAACCACGGUUCUAUCUACUUUAGAGAUUUGCUGUCCCUGCAGUGUGUCUGGCGCAUUCACACAGCGGGGACAGCUGAGCAGAACCCCAACAGAAAGCUAACGGAGGUUAGCGGAAAGACGGAGACGUGGCUUCCGUUGUAAAGGCUUGUGAGCUCUUUGAAGGGAUAGCGAACUACCUAAAGGUGAAAGCCUAGUAGGAAGACACCGUGAAUGUUUUGCACAAAAUCAUCGCAACCAUUCUGAGAGACCCUGCUACCACAACCUGGUCUCAGAAAGGGGCUGCUAACCUUCAUGCGAGCAUCUAAUAUUGAUGGCAUAUCUUAACUGACUCAGAUGCCAAUAGCUGGGCCCGCUAUGAUGAUGAAUCCCAGGACCGCCUAGAAACCGUGUCUUCUGAAGGCAGACGUUAAAAAGUCGAUCUCGCAAGUAAAUCGGAGAAUGAACAUUCGUGCACACCAGUCCGUUCAUGGAAAAAGAUACAGACGUGGGGCAUUUUGGUUGGCUCUGCCUAAACUAUCAUCUGUUAUAAAGGAUAAUGAAUUCUCAA
Long non-coding RNA from Rattus norvegicus (Norway rat), 859 nucleotides. RefSeq lists it as uncharacterized. The record is from RefSeq and is a predicted model, not a curated record. Lineage: Eukaryota; Metazoa; Chordata; Mammalia; Rodentia; Muridae.